UACAGGGGGUGCAAACGUUGCUCGGAAUUAUUGGGCGUAAAGCGCGCGUAGGCGGCCGCUUAAGUCGGAUGUGAAAGCCCCUGGCUUAACUGGGGAAGUGCACCCGAAACUGAGUGGCUUGAGUACUAAAGAGGGUCGCGGAAUUCCCGGUGUAGAGGUGAAAUUCGUAGAUAUCGGGAGGAACACCGGUGGCGAAGGCGGCGACCUGGGUAGAUACUGACGCUGAGGCGCGAAAGCGUGGGGAGCAAACAGG
This 253-nucleotide ribosomal RNA is filed under the name uncultured bacterium. RNAcentral's name for it is "partial 16S ribosomal RNA". It matches the Rfam family "Bacterial small subunit ribosomal RNA", at positions 524 to 776 of the family's 1533-position model. The record is from RNAcentral.